GUGCUCAGUUCAGUAGCACAUAUACUAAAAUUGGACGAAUACAGAGAAGAUUUGCCCCUGCACAAGGAUGACAUGCAAAUUCGUGAAGUGUUUCAUAUUUUU
This is a small nuclear RNA of Apodemus sylvaticus (European woodmouse), 102 nucleotides long. Lineage: Eukaryota; Metazoa; Chordata; Mammalia; Rodentia; Muridae. The record is from RefSeq and is a predicted model, not a curated record.